RNAcentral lists this ribosomal RNA (387 nucleotides) under uncultured Methanosaeta sp. RNAcentral's name for it is "bacterial SSU rRNA". It matches the Rfam family "Archaeal small subunit ribosomal RNA", at positions 952 to 1338 of the family's 1478-position model. The record is from RNAcentral. Lineage: Archaea; Methanobacteriati; Methanobacteriota; Methanomicrobia; Methanotrichales; Methanotrichaceae.
GGUCAGGCUGAAGACCUUACCCGAUUAGCUGAGAGGUGGUGCAUGGCCGUCGUCAGUUCGUACUGUGAAGCAUCCUGUUAAGUCAGGCAACGAGCGAGACCCGCGUCCACAGUUGCCAGCAUACCCUCCGGGGUGAUGGGUACACUGUGGAGACCGCCGCUGCUAAAGCGGAGGAAGGAGUGGGCAACGGUAGGUCAGUAUGCCCCGAAUCUCCCGGGCUACACGCGGGCUACAAUGGUUGGUACAAUGGGCAUCUACCCCGAAAGGGGAAGGAAAUCUCUUAAAGCCAAUCGUAGUUCGGAUUGAGGGCUGCAACUCGCCCUCAUGAAGCUGGAAUCCGUAGUAAUCGCGUUUCAACAGAACGCGGUGAAUACGUCCCUGCUCCUU